Molecule: non-coding RNA, 512 nt
Organism: Artibeus jamaicensis (Jamaican fruit-eating bat)
Lineage: Eukaryota; Metazoa; Chordata; Mammalia; Chiroptera; Phyllostomidae
Source: the annotation of a RefSeq genome assembly
GGUCUGAGGUCUCUGUGGAAGACAGAGCUGUACACUAGAAGAAGAUGAAAGUGCUGGGUCAUCUCCUGUGCCUGGUGAUUGCCACCCAGGAUGUCCUGCCCCAGGUGCAGCUGCAAGAGUGGGGAACAGAACUGUUGAAGCCCUCACAGACAAUCUCCCUCAUCUGUGCUGUGUAUGGUUACUCCAUCACCAGUGGUUACUGCUGGAACUGGAUCCGCCAGCCUCCAGGAAAGGGGCUGGAGUGGAUUGGGUGCAUAUGUAGUGAUGGGAACAGUUACUACAGCCCAUCCCUUAAAAGCCGCACCUCAAUCUCUAGAGACACAUCCAAGAACCAAUUCUCCCUGCAUCUGAGCUCUGUGACCACCGAGGACACAGCUGUGUAUUAUUGCGCCAGAGACACAGUGAGAGGAAGGAAGUAUGAGCCCAGACAUAAACCUCCCAUAAGGAUACGGGAGGGCUGGGCUUCAGGGGAACCUAAGGACACCAGGGGAGGCAGUGGACAACUACAGUGA